CGCUUACCACUUUGUGGUUCAUGACUGGGGUGAAGUCGUAACAAGGUAGCGCUAGGGGAACCUGGCGCUGGAUCACCUCCUUA
This 83-nucleotide ribosomal RNA is filed under the name Vibrio alginolyticus. RNAcentral describes it as "partial 16S ribosomal RNA". It matches the Rfam family "Bacterial small subunit ribosomal RNA", at positions 1451 to 1533 of the family's 1533-position model. The record is from RNAcentral. RNAcentral also lists the same sequence under 1 other name. Lineage: Bacteria; Pseudomonadati; Pseudomonadota; Gammaproteobacteria; Vibrionales; Vibrionaceae.